RNAcentral lists this ribosomal RNA (446 nucleotides) under uncultured bacterium. RNAcentral's name for it is "partial 16S ribosomal RNA". It matches the Rfam family "Bacterial small subunit ribosomal RNA", at positions 338 to 795 of the family's 1533-position model. The record is from RNAcentral.
CCUACGGGUGGCAGCAGUCGAGAAUCAUUCACAAUGGGGGAAACCCUGAUGCUGCGACGCCGCGUGGGGGAAUGAAGGUCUUCGGAUUGUAAACCCCUGUCAUGUGGGGGCAAAUUAAAAAGAUAGUACCACAGGAGGAAGAGACGGCUAACUCUGUGCGAGCAGCCGCGGUAAUACAGAGGUCUCAAGCGUUGUUCGGAAUCACUGGGCGUAAAGCGUGCGUAGGCUGUUUCGUAAGUCGUGUGUGAAAGGCGCGGGCUCAACCCGGGAACGGCACAUGAUACUGCGAGACUAGAGUCACGGAGAGGGAACUGGAAUUCCCGGUGUAGCAGUGAAAUGCGUAGAUAUCGGGAGGAACACUCGUGGCGAAGGCGGGUUCCUGGACAUUAACUGACGCUGAGGUACGAAGGCCAGGGGAGCGAAAGGGAUUAGAUACCCGGGUAGUC